Capsicum annuum is the source of this 156-nucleotide ribosomal RNA. RefSeq annotates it as 5.8S ribosomal RNA. The record is from RefSeq and is a predicted model, not a curated record. NCBI's taxonomy places the organism in Eukaryota, Viridiplantae, Streptophyta, Magnoliopsida, Solanales, Solanaceae. The transcript has a single exon.
GACUCUCGGCAAUGGAUAUCUCGGCCCUCAUAUUGAUGAAGAAUAUAGCGAAAUAUGAUACUUGGUGUGAAUUAUAGAAUCACGUGAACCAUCAAUUUUUUGAACACAAGUUGUGCCCAAAGCCAUUAGGUCGAGGGCACGUCUGCCUAGGCAUCA